CAGCGUCACGAGUGGGGAUCGCGAUUAUUGGGCCUAAAGCGUCCGUAGCCGGUUUGAUAAAUCUUUAGUGAAAUCGAUCAGCUUAACUGAUCGGCGUGCUAGAUAGACUGUCAAACUAGGAACCGGGAGGAGUCAGAAGUAUAUUUGGGGGAGCGGUAAAAUGCAAUAAUCCCAAAUAGACUACCUGUGGCGAAGGCGUCUGACCAGAACGGAUUCGACGGUGAGGGACGAAAGCUGGGGGAGCGAACCGGAUUAGAUACCCGAGUAGUCC
This 271-nucleotide ribosomal RNA is filed under the name uncultured archaeon. RNAcentral's name for it is "partial 16S ribosomal RNA". It matches the Rfam family "Archaeal small subunit ribosomal RNA", at positions 477 to 747 of the family's 1478-position model. The record is from RNAcentral.